This 799-nucleotide ribosomal RNA is filed under the name uncultured Staphylococcus sp. RNAcentral describes it as "SSU rRNA". It matches the Rfam family "Bacterial small subunit ribosomal RNA", at positions 81 to 866 of the family's 1533-position model. The record is from RNAcentral. Lineage: Bacteria; Bacillati; Bacillota; Bacilli; Caryophanales; Staphylococcaceae.
CUCCUCUGACGUUAGCGGCGGACGGGUGAGUAACACGUGGAUAACCUACCUAUAAGACUGGGAUAACUUCGGGAAACCGGAGCUAAUACCGGAUAAUAUAUUGAACCGCAUGGUUCAAUAGUGAAAGACGGUUUUGCUGUCACUUAUAGAUGGAUCCGCGCCGCAUUAGCUAGUUGGUAAGGUAACGGCUUACCAAGGCAACGAUGCGUAGCCGACCAGAGAGGGUGAUCGGCCACACUGGAACUGAGACACGGUCCAGACUCCUACGGGAGGCAGCAGUAGGGAAUCUUCCGCAAUGGGCGAAAGCCUGACGGAGCAACGCCGCGUGAGUGAUGAAGGUCUUCGGAUCGUAAAACUCUGUUAUUAGGGAAGAACAAAUGUGUAAGUAACUAUGCACGUCUUGACGGUACCUAAUCAGAAAGCCACGGCUAACUACGUGCCAGCAGCCGCGGUAAUACGUAGGUGGCAAGCGUUAUCCGGAAUUAUUGGGCGUAAAGCGCGCGUAGGCGGUUUUUUAAGUCUGAUGUGAAAGCCCACGGCUCAACCGUGGAGGGUCAUUGGAAACUGGAAAACUUGAGUGCAGAAGAGGAAAGUGGAAUUCCAUGUGUAGCGGUGAAAUGCGCAGAGAUAUGGAGGAACACCAGUGGCGAAGGCGACUUUCUGGUCUGUAACUGACGCUGAUGUGCGAAAGCGUGGGGAUCAAACAGGAUUAGAUACCCUGGUAGUCCACGCCGUAAACGAUGAGUGCUAAGUGUUAGGGGGUUUCCGCCCCUUAGUGCUGCAGCUAACGCAUUAAGCA